Molecule: non-coding RNA, 1489 nt
Organism: Phoenix dactylifera (date palm)
Lineage: Eukaryota; Viridiplantae; Streptophyta; Magnoliopsida; Arecales; Arecaceae
Source: RefSeq, a predicted model, not a curated record
GAUGAGAAAGCCUUUUGUUUUUCUGUCAUCUGGAUUAAGCAGCAGUGUAUUGAUGCUUUGUUGUUAGUUGUAUAAUAGAAUCAGAACCAGUAAAUGUGCCAGGCCAGUGCCUUCUUAUCAUUAUUAAUGUUCAGCUGGAAAUGGAUGAAUCUUUAUGAGGGUUUUUUUUUAUUGCAUACCUACAGUCUUUAUUGCACAUAUCCACCUUAAUAUACUUAUAUUGUUCAGUUCUCAAACAUUGUGAACUAUGCUGCUGUUGAUCUUUCUGUGUCCUUCCAGGCAUGCCAUGAAAAUGUAAUAAUUAUGCAAUGCUGACAAUUUUAUCAGCAUGAAUUUCAGCACAACAUGUCUUUGCUAGCGAUGACCUCUAACAAACAAAAUUUAGCGUUCUUAUUGAAAUACAAAACAGAGCCAUCACAUUUUUCAAUAUAAAUUUGAGUGGAGGACACUCAGAUUUAACAGAAUCUUAACCAUCCAUCUUUUUUUUUCUGAACAUUUUUCAAUAUAAAUUUGGGACUUUUUUUAGUUUUGCUUUGACUAUGGAUACUCCUUUUUUGAUUUUUUUGUUGUCAUUGGACUUAUGGAGUUAUGGACCUUAUAGCCAAUGUGGUUUCCUUUGAUAUUUAUAGCUAUUUGGUAGUUUCUUUUGCUAGAUUCUAUGCAAUGCUGUUUUUAUUUUUAUUCAAUAAUAGUCUAACUCUUCUUGGGGUAAGUUUUCUGAAUUCCUUGAAAGUAGAAGAUCUGACCUGUACCAAACCAGAAGUGAAGAGAUUGUAAGUUUUUCAGACAUUGCAGUGUGGUGAGUUAGUACCUCUCUUGUAUGCUCAGCAUGUUGUGGAGGUAAAAAAUGUUGAUGCUUGUAUGCAUAAGUUUCAGAAAUAUAUAGUACUUAUCAAAACCAAUUUUCUGGUAGAUGUCUGCAGCAGCAUUUGCCAAAGGGCUUCUUGAUUUGGAGGGUCAGUUAACUCCAAUUCUGGUUUCACUGGUUAGUAAAGACUCUUCUAUGCUGGAUGGACUAGAAGAUGCUAGCACUGAGAUGGAUGAAGCAAAGGGCCUGGUUGUUCUUCUAUUGGCUUUGGAGAGGCAGAGGAACUUGGACCUUGCUUAAUGCAAAAAGGUGUGCCAAGACUUUAACAGGGGACUUGCAACAAGGCAGAGAAAAUAGGGCUUGACUAUAUGAAUGUUGAAGCACUAAAAAAAUGAACAAAAACAAAAAGUUGGUCAAAAAGCUUGUUAAAAAGUACCAUGCUUUCCUAGCAUCAGAUGCGAUUAUGUAUAUUGACAUUUGUUCUAUGUCAAGCAGAUAGAAUUUUCGGGCUAUUCCAUAUGUAAAUUUGGAUGAUUUGACUUGUAUUCCUUGUCUUUGUAAAGAUUAAAUGCUUUUUGAAUAUUGCUGGUAUUAGAUGAAUGAACAAAUAACUUGUAUUCCUUAUGUUUAGCUUUUUGUAAAGAUUAAAUGCUUUUUUAAUGUCAAUGAUGUUGGGACAAA